GGGUUUUAAGCAGAGGGGAAGUGAUGAUCGGAACUGUAGCUCAGAGGAUUCUCUGUGGGCAGUGAUGAUGAUUGGGCACAGCCCUGGGCAGGGUUGGAAGCAGAGAGGCCUGGUGACCAUCUGCAAGGAGCCCAUGGGCCAUGUGGGUGUGCUUGUCACCAUGCUUUGGCAAGCCACGUGCACAGGAAAGAGGCUGACUUACAAGAAUCAGCAGCUCCUGAAAACCCAGCGAGGCCCAGCCAGGCCUGCAGCCAACUUCCACUUUAUUCGGGAUGCUUUCACUUUCCAGACAUCUCGUUUUGAGUCAAGAUUCCUCCUUUUGAACAUGGGACUUUCCAGUAGGACCACAGCUCCUUCCGUGAGCUCAUUUGGCCUAGGAUGUCCUGGUCUGUUGAGGGAAUCUUCCUUCCGAAGGAGGACGUCCGUCAUGUGGUCCCUCUGGGGUCUUCUUCUCUGCGAAGCCCUCCUUCCCAUCGUGAUUAUCGGCGGCGUCCAAGUGCUCAGCAAGGUGGGGGACUCCGUGUUGCUGGCGGCAGAGUGCCCUCCUGGCUUCCAAGUGCGCGAGGCCAUCUGGCGAUCUCUCUGGCCGUCAGAGGAACUCCUGGCCACGUUUUUCCGGGGUUCCUUGGAGACGCUGUACUACUCCCGUUUCCUGGGCCGAGUCCAGCUACAUGGCAACCUCAGCCUGGAGCUUGGGCCCCUGAAAACUGGAGACAGCGGCAACUUCUCCGUGCUGAUGGUGGACACCGCGGGUCAAACCUGGACCCAGACCCUGCAUCUCAAGGUGUACGAUACGGUGCCCAAGCCUGUGGUUCAAGUGUUCACUGCUGCAACGGAAGAGGUUCAACCCCCCAGUACCUGCCAGGUCUUCUUGUCCUGCUGGGCCCCCAACACCAGUGACAUAACCUAUAGCUGGCGACGGGAGAGGCUGAUGGGCGUUGACGUGGGACCGCACGGCCUUUUCUCAAAUGGACAGGUGUUAAGUGUCUCGCUGGGACUGGGCGACAAAGAUGUGGCCUAUACCUGCAUUGCCUCCAACCCUGUCAGCUGGGAUACGGCCACAGUCACUCCCUGGGAGAGCUGCCAUCAUGAAGCAGCCUCUGGGAAGGCCUCCUACAAGGAUGUGCUGCUGGUGGUAGUGCCCAUCUCAGUGUUCCUGAUUCUAGCUGGUCUCUUUGGGGCAUGGCACCAUGGCCCCUGCUCAGGGAAAAGGAAAAGGAAGGAUGCUGUCACUGACAGGGUGGUUCCAGAGACGGAGAAUCCCCUCGUGUAAGAUACGCCGCCGUGAGGGACAACAUAAACUGGUGCUUGGAUCAUGACAAGAGGCCCUGCCCAGCCACAUGAUGCUCCACACCCGGAAACUUCCAGGAUCCUCAGAACUUCCACAAGUCUCUUGUCUGCCGCUAGAGAACAGCCAAGGAAGCCGUCACCCUGGCUCCAACUUCCUCCCUCCUCUUUGCACCUGCUAGAUCUUCUCCAGGCAAGGUGGACUAAGAGGGUGCUUCCUCAAGAGCACUGGACAUUCUCUAGGAUCCACAGAGACAUUGUCCUUCUAUACUACUGUAUAGAGGGAAUUAUUUAACUAUCAAGAUACUGCCUCCAGGCCAGGUCCUGGGCCCUAAGAGAUACCAGACAUUUGAGUUAACCACUGCCAGCUCCAAGCCCAGCCCCUGGAGUCUGAGAUCCUUGUGUUCAAGAUGUUACCAUAAGAAAAGUUACAGAAUAAGGAAAGGUGGAGGAAAGGAAGGGCUUUUCUUUUCUGGCAUGAAGGACUUUGGCCAUCUGAGUUCAAGGCCCCUCAAAGGUAAACUGAGGUAAUGAGUGACGAAGGAUAGCUGACAUGCCAUCUUGGGGUAGAAGCCAUUUUUCUGGUAGCACCCUAUUAAUAGACAUCUUCAUCCCCAUUGACUACUCUCAUGCCUUCUGCGUGAUCUGGGGUGGUAUUUGGGGGUCUCUCAGUACAUUCUACACAGUUGCCAGAAAGGAAAAACAAGCAAACAAAACCCAGAGAGUUUGACCCAGCCAACAGGAAAGCCUUGCACAACGGCAAGAGAAGCCGCUAAGUUCAGGGUGAGUCUGUCCUCCUGAAACUGGGAGAAGGAAGAGCCAUGAGAAGCUACAUGGGAGGAAAACUGUGGAGAAGAAGGAUGCUGAGACACUUCAGAAUCGGCCACAUUCAUUUUCAGAUGCAAGUGUAGAAGACCCACCUAAGUUCAAGGGGAGAGCCAAGUCCCUACCACUCAACUGUAGGAUGGUCAAGGUCGCUUUGACACACGCCGUAGAGGAUACUGUUAUGGCCAUCCUUGGAAAAUGUAUCCUGCCAUUGAAUGAUUCUGUCUUGAAAAAGUCUAGGCUGUCUAUUGCUCUUUGGGAAAACAAAGCACUUACUGAGUUAAAUUUAUCCUGGUGAAGGAGCAGCUACUAAGGUCCAUGCUUAUUCUCAUCCAAAUGGAAUGGGUUUUAUCCUGGGGCCCCGCCCAGACCUUGAUAAUGGAGAGGAAGGAGGCACUGAGGAAGCAGAGAUAGUUUUGAAUAUGUUGCCUGGGUGGCUUCAGUCUCUCCACCCAGGAAGUCAGUCCUGCCCUGGCACCUUCCCUCUUCUCCCCACUGCCGAGACAGCCACUUCACCCGGGACAAAUAAUGGGGACCAUCCACUGGCCGGUGUGUUCACAUUACACACCUCCUGUCCACUUACCCUGGAUCCCCUCUCACUGGCCUUUCUCAGAGGUUCCUGGCUUUAUCGAAUUCUUUCAUUCGCCUGCCCUCACCUUUCUUCUCUCCCCUUUCCUCCAACUUCCGCAUGCAGAGUGCACGUGCCCACACGGCCUGGCAGCUUGUGCUGCCCUUCCCUGCUACUUACAGGCAUCUUCUCACCAACUCCUGGAAAAUGAAAGCCUGUCUAUGAAACAACGUGAAAAGGGAAGCCCAGGCUCUAGGGAUGAGCCAUGGUGGUUCUGGGGCGAUAAAACACACACUGUCCCCCACCUUCCCUCCCUUUAUCUCCACAGCCUCACCUCAAAUCCAAGCACAGGUCUCAUCUUUGUGAGGUGGUUUUUAUCUACCUUGUGUAGACAGUGGAUUUGCAGGGAGCUGUACCAGGGCCACUUGGAACAGGACAUGCUGCUCAAACACACUGCUGCUCCCAUCCCCAAUGACUCACUUGUCAACUAGUAGACUUAUUAUCCUUCCUCUGGAAAACACAAAGUGCUCGUGGGAGACCAGUCUUAUUCUAAGAGACAUUGGGAAAGAUGCUUCAAAAGUUACACCAUCCCAAGUAUGAACCAAGCAUUCAGCAUAUGCUGAGAAUUCUCUGAGGCCCUGAGGAAUCAGUUUCGGAUGAAGCAAAGCCUUUGCCUUUGUAGAGUCCAUGUUCAAUGGCAUAUAAAUAGAUCGAUAAGUAUAUGCUAGAUGCUGAGAGGUUCCGUUUAAAGGAUAAGGCAGGCUGGCUUUGUGGUUCAAGCUUAGAGACCUGGCUACUUAGAAGGCUGAAGUGGGAGGAUGGUAAUUCAAGGCCUGCCUGGACUACAGAAUAAGUUCAAG
This is an RNA transcript of Peromyscus leucopus (white-footed mouse), 3540 nucleotides long. It is a transcript of the gene named SLAM family member 8, with no coding region annotated. NCBI's taxonomy places the organism in Eukaryota, Metazoa, Chordata, Mammalia, Rodentia, Cricetidae. The record is from RefSeq and is a predicted model, not a curated record. The transcript is spliced from 6 exons.